GAUCCUGGCUCAGGACGAACGCUGGCGGCGCGCCUAACACAUGCAAGUCGAACGGAGUUAUUUUCUUCACUCCGAGCUUUUUGCCAGUUAGCCGGAGCGGCAAUCGGUUUUGCCCAGCAUAAAAAGCAAAACCGAUUUAGGCUCAUAAAGUAAGACUAACACAGAGGGCAGAAAGUUGGGAGUGAAGAAAUAACUUAGUGGCGAACGGGUGAGUAACGCGUGAGUAACCUGCCCUGGAGUGGGGGACAACAGUUGGAAACG
Molecule: ribosomal RNA, 261 nt
Filed under: uncultured bacterium
Lineage: Bacteria
Description: partial 16S ribosomal RNA
Rfam family: Bacterial small subunit ribosomal RNA
Source: RNAcentral